RNAcentral lists this ribosomal RNA (515 nucleotides) under uncultured bacterium. Its description in RNAcentral is "partial 16S ribosomal RNA". It matches the Rfam family "Bacterial small subunit ribosomal RNA", at positions 28 to 523 of the family's 1533-position model. The record is from RNAcentral.
GAUGAACGCUGGCGGCGUGCCUAAUACAUGCAAGUCGAGCGAAUGGAUUAAGAGCUUGCUCUUAUGAAGUUAGCGGCGGACGGGUGAGUAACACGUGGGUAACCUGCCCAUAAGACUGGGAUAACUCCGGGAAACCGGGGCUAAUACCGGAUAACAUUUUGAACCGCAUGGUUCGAAAUUGAAAGGCGGCUUCGGCUGUCACUUAUGGAUGGACCCGCGUCGCAUUAGCUAGUUGGUGAGGUAACGGCUCACCAAGGCAACGAUGCGUAGCCGACCUGGGAGGGUGAUCGGCACCACUGGGACGGGGACACGGCCCAGACUCCUACGGGAGGCAGCAGUAGGGAAUCUUCCGCAAUGGACGAAAGUCUGACGGAGCAACGCCGCGUGAGUGAUGAAGGCUUUCGGGUCGUAAAACUCUGUUGUUAGGGAAGAACAAGUGCUAGUUGAAUAAGCUGGCACCUUGACGGUACCUAACCAGAAAGCCACGGCUAACUACGUGCCAGCCGCCGCGGUAA